This 1400-nucleotide ribosomal RNA is filed under the name uncultured bacterium. Its description in RNAcentral is "bacterial SSU rRNA". It matches the Rfam family "Bacterial small subunit ribosomal RNA". The record is from RNAcentral.
UUAGAGUUUGAUCCUGGCUCAGGAUGAACGCUAGCGGCAGGCUUAACACAUGCAAGUCGAGGGGCAGCGAGAUCAGUGCUUGCACUGAUUGUCGGCGACCGGCGCACGGGUGCGUAACGCGUAUGCAACCUACCCAUUACAGGGGGAUAACACUGAGAAAUCGGUACUAAUACCCCAUAACAUCCAGGGAGGCAUCUUCUUGGGUUGAAAACUCCGGUGGUAAUGGAUGGGCAUGCGUUGUAUUAGUUAGUUGGUGGGGUAACGGCUCACCAAGACAACGAUACAUAGGGGGACUGAGAGGUUAACCCCCCACAUUGGUACUGAGACACGGACCAAACUCCUACGGGAGGCAGCAGUGAGGAAUAUUGGUCAAUGGACGCAAGUCUGAACCAGCCAUGCCGCGUGCAGGAAGACGGCUCUAUGAGUUGUAAACUGCUUUUGUACGAGGGUAAACGCAGAUACGCGUAUCUGUCUGAAAGUAUCGUACGAAUAAGGAUCGGCUAACUCCGUGCCAGCAGCCGCGGUAAUACGGAGGAUUCAAGCGUUAUCCGGAUUUAUUGGGUUUAAAGGGUGCGUAGGCGGUCGGAUAAGUUAGAGGUGAAAUCCCGGGGCUCAACUUCGGAAUUGCCUCUGAUACUGUUCGGCUAGAGAGUAGUUGCGGUAGGCGGAAUGUAUGGUGUAGCGGUGAAAUGCUUAGAGAUCAUACAGAACACCGAUUGCGAAGGCAGCUUACCAAGCUACUUCUGACGUUGAGGCACGAAAGCGUGGGGAGCAAACAGGAUUAGAUACCCUGGUAGUCCACGCAGUAAACGAUGAUAACUCGUUGUCGGCGAUACAGUGUCGGUGACUAAGCGAAAGCGAUAAGUUAUCCACCUGGGGAGUACGUUCGCAAGAAUGAAACUCAAAGGAAUUGACGGGGGCCCGCACAAGCGGAGGAACAUGUGGUUUAAUUCGAUGAUACGCGAGGAACCUUACCCGGGCUUGAAAGUUAGUGACGGAUCUUGAAAGAGGUCUUCCCUUCGGGGCACGAAACUAGGUGCUGCAUGGUUGUCGUCAGCUCGUGCCGUGAGGUGUCGGGUUAAGUCCCAUAACGAGCGCAACCCCUACCGUUAGUUGCCAGCAGGUCAAGCUGGGCACUCUGACGGGACUGCCGGUGUAAGCCGAGAGGAAGGUGGGGAUGACGUCAAAUCAGCACGGCCCUUACGUCCGGGGCUACACACGUGUUACAAUGGCAGGUACAGAGGGCAGCUACCCAGCGAUGGGAUGCGAAUCUCGAAAGCCUGUCUCAGUUCGGAUUGGAGGCUGAAACCCGCCUCCAUGAAGUUGGAUUCGCUAGUAAUCGCGCAUCAGCCAUGGCGCGGUGAAUACGUUCCCGGGCCUUGUACACACCGCCCGUCAAG